Molecule: long non-coding RNA, 4715 nt
Filed under: Fragaria vesca (wild strawberry)
Lineage: Eukaryota; Viridiplantae; Streptophyta; Magnoliopsida; Rosales; Rosaceae
Description: long non-coding RNA (FVES_LNC004071)
Source: RNAcentral
AAAGAAAAUAUGCUGCAUGCGACAGCUCAAAACGCUCAACACGAAAACUGGAAUUUCAUGACUGGCACCGGCCAGUCUCCAACGCUCAAUAAAAUACAGCCUUUCAGGCUAAAAUAAAAUAUGUAUGUAUUACACUCGUUAUAUCCCUUGUAUGAAUUUUCUUGAAACAACUAAAACAAAUAGCAAAUUCACACAAGGCUACAACGCUUGCGUCUAACGCUCACGUUGCACCAUAAUGGCAUUUUACCUCAUUAUGGUGGAAAAGACGGUGUAUAAAUAUACGCGCAUAUCCCCUAUAUAAAUUAUUAUUUUUAUACAGGGCUACAACGAUUGCGUCUAACGCUCUCGUUGCACCAUAAUGGAAUUUUACCUCAGUAUAGUGGAAAAGCACGUAUAGCUAACUAGAAUUCUCUCAUAUACAUAUUAUUCUCAUAAUCAUGCAUCCACAUAUGGAUAUAUAUAUAUACUCACCGAAAUUCUCAAUUUCGGUUAUUCUCCAACAACAUAAAUUAUUUCGCAUGCACAUUAUUUAAAACAAAAGUCUACUCACAAAUUAGGCCUAAGCCUGAUGUCGAUCUGGGGCCUCGUCAGCUCGAGCCUCCUCACGACCUGUUCCAAAUAUAAUAUUAAGUUCCCAGCCGAAAUUCCAAUAUUUAAUCAAAAUAGGCAAAAUUACCCGAGAGCCAUAAAUACGCUCAUCAUUGCCUAACUUCGAUAAUCUUAAAUUGGAACAAUCCGAACUUAAAUAUCAUACUUAACAGUCGUAAAUACAACCUCUCCAAAAUACGACUUAAAUCCUACGGCCGGAUUCUACAUUAAUUAACCGCCAAAAAUACUAACUUCGGAAAUUCAUAAACCUAUCCAAAACUCAUCCAAAAAUUCCAUAACUCACUUCAAUAAACUCCCUUAAUAUUCCAAAUUUAACAACAUUAAAAUCUGCCAACCGGCGGCGGCCGGAGGCCAGUUCCGGCGAUCUCCAAUUCCUAUGAAAUUUUAACAGCAUCUUCCUCUCAUCAUGCUCUACAACUUUCAUAACUAGCACAAACACCAAUUCCAAGCCUAACUAGGGCAAUCGACUAAAAACAUCAAAAACACCAUAAAACUUCCACCUCAAAUUUCUCCUUACCUAGCUCAAGAGGGAGUGAGUCCUUUUAGGGCAAGGCUGCUGGGUUGGAGGGCUAAAAAACCGUACCAAGCUUGCCCGGAUUGGUGGCCGGAGGAGGAAGUUCCGGCGACGUGAUCCCUAACAUAGUCGGACCUCUCGGGCCCGAUAUCUCCCUCACGGCGGCGCUAGGGGAGCUGUCACCGGUCCAAGAAGGUUGCUGGGUUGAAGACCGAUCGAUUGGGACCGGUGCGGCGGUCUGGGGCGGCCGGACGGCGGCGGUCUGGUGGUCGGAAAACGGGACAACGGGAGGGCUCGGGUGCGGGAGCGGGUGAGGAGAGAAAAUCGGGAGGAGAAAGAAUGGGUUUGGGCCUCACACCCCAAGCCGGUCCAUCACUUAUAAACUAUCCAAAUUCUAAAAUUAAACACCCCGAAAAAUAAUACCCGAAUAAAAAUUACCUUUUACUAGCUAAAAUUUACCAUUUUUACCGUCGUCGUAUUUUCCUCAUACGAAUAAUCCUCCGCACAUAAUCGUCCCCGAAACCCCUCUAGGGACCAAUUAAACUAUUUACUCAAUGAUCGAGACGGUAAAAUUCUUAUUAUAAUCAGGCUAGUAAAUAAAGUAAAAAAUAUAAGGGUCGGGAUGUGACAGGAAGUAGUUGAGUUUUUAGUUCCGUGAAAAUGCUCUAUUUUGAAGGGUUAAGAGUUGACUUUUUAAUCGGUUGAGUUUCUCGGGAAACUUCCUUCACGAAAGUUGUAGAGCACGACGAUACGAGUUCGUAGACACGUGGCACGCGUAAAACGGACUUCGUAUGUGGAAGUUAUGGUCAGCGGAAAUUGUGGCUUUUCGGGAAUAUUUAGGUUAAAUAGGAAAUUUUCAGUUGGGUUCUCAGUUUUUCAGAAAACAGAUUUUCCUCCCUCUCCUUCUCUCUGUCCUACCCCGAGAGAAUUCAAAGUCCUCCAGCCGACCCGACCCGGAACCGGUGACCCGACCCGGCUUUUCCGGCCACCUCCGACCGACCUAGACGCCGGCACCGGUCGGGUUCUCUUCCUCUCCACCAUCUGAGCUGCUCUACGGUGGUGACUUGCGCCGAUUCGGUCCCGAAGUGGUGACCCGAAGCUCAGAAUUUCGGGUUAGAGACCCGGUCGGGUUUCAGACCUCCGACGGCGACGACAAGGCGGGAGACCGGUCGGGAUAGAAGUUCCUUGGCGUCCUGGUCCGACUUCUGGUGGCCUUGGAGCGCGACUCACGGCGGAGAGUGGCGGUGGUGGAUUCCAAACUUUCCGACGCGUUUCCAGUGAUUUCCGGCCGAUUCCGGCCGAACUAGUUGAACCCUCAGGUAUAAAAGAUGCUCCUCUCUCCUCAAUCUACAAAUUUGAUGUUUUGAGUUUGCCCAAAUUCGGACGUUUUGUGGUGGCGCGUGGGGCUCACUCACCGCCGUCUGUGUUGGCGCAUGGCGGCGCGUCCGGUAGUGUCUGGGGUGUUUUGUGGUGCUGGUUAGAUAGUACUCUUCGAUACGAGCGUGUUGAUUUGUGGGUUGCAGGUUUUGGUUAUCUUUAUUGCAUGCUAGGGUUUCCCCGUGGUGUUAAGUUUCGUUCGUUCCAUUUUUUGAGUAAUUCGAACAUGAGAAUAUGGUUAGUAGUUCUAUAGGAUGUGUAGGACGUUUCAGCGACCUUUUAGAGGUCAAGGAAGAGGAUUUGUCUCGAGUGAUAAGCUCAUGGAUUAGGACUUGAGUUUCGGUUCGAGUUAGAUAAUGUGUUUUCAUAGUUACUAAGGUUAAUGUUUUGUUAAUAGGUGACUUGUGUGGUUUUGUGUGAUAUGCUUGUGUUGUGCGUGCGAAGACGCAGCUGGAUUUGAGGUGAGUAACUUCUCACUAAGGUCCACUUUCGGACAAAUCAUUUAUAAUUAUUAUGAUGUUGAUCUUGAAGAUGAUUAUGAUGAUGAUUGUGAUGUUGAAUUUUGAUAUGAUGAUGAUGAUGAUAAUUGUAUGAUGAUGAUGAGAUUAAUGAUGAUGAUGAAAAUGUUGAUGGAAAUGUUGAUGAUAUGAUGAUUUUGAUGAUAAUUAUUAUGAUGACGAUGGUAAUAGGCUUGAUUGAUGAUUAUGAUGCUAUUUUUAAUAUUGUGAGUAAAUCUCACAUGAGUUCUUAAGAAACCAAAUUUAUUUUAUAAUUUUGUUAUGGUUAGAUGUGAAGUUGUCCUUAAAGGAAAAAUGAUUUUUGUUUUAAAAAAAAUAAAUGAGCUUGAUCGUCAACGGCUCAUGGGUAAGUGAAAAUAUGUUUUCUGGUAAAAUAAAAUCUUUCAAAAGGACUUCCGAUCAUAUGAUUUGUGAUGCUGAAAUAUGGUUGUUGAUAUUUUUAUUCUAGUCGGAAUAUCUAUGUCUUUGUUAUAUAAAUAUAUUUAGGUGGAAAGAUAUAAUUUAUGAACUGCUCUUGUGAUGUUGUUUAAAUAGUCAAACCGGGUUCCUAGCCUUUAAUCGGGUGAUAUAUUACGGUUAUGAUUAUAUUAUUAUUUUAUGAUUUGAUAAGUGUUAUGUUGGGAGAGUAUUGGAAUGUGUGCCUUAGUGGUGAUUGUAUGCAUUAGUUGUGUAUGUGUGUGCCUUAGUUGUGAUUGUGUGCAUUAGUUGUGUAUGUUUGUGCCUUAGUGGUGAUUAUUAGAUUAGGAGCCUUCGUGGUGGACCGGGAACCAAGCUUUGGCCGGGUGAUUGGUUACGGUCAGUAUAGAGCUCUAGUCUGUCAGUCGGUACUUCAUGGGGGAUGACUAAGUGUUGACGAACCCAUGAGUACGCCUUUGUUUGGUUACUUAUGGGGGAUGACUAAGUGUUGGCGAACUCAUAAGUAAGAGUAGAGAAAUGUUUGUGAAAUGUUCUUAUGUGUUGUAUAAAUUCAUUGCUUUGAGUAUCUCCUGAACUAUGCUUAUCCGCAGGAGAUUCUUAAAUCUUAAUUGAGUGAUUUUAAAUUAUUGUGUUUUCUUAAUUGUUUCUUUUGAGUUCUCUUGCUUUUAGGCGAUUCCUGAACUAAGUUGCUAAUGCAGGAAUUACCAGUUUUAAUUAUAUGUGAUAUUGGGAUUGUUGGGUUAUUAUUUUGGGAGUUACUCAUACGAGCUUUUUAGCUUACCGGGUUUGUUGUUUACAACCCGGUGCACCAAUUAAUGGUGUAGGGGUUAGACCUGCAGGUGAUGAUCAGCAGGGUUGAGGCAGUGGCCUAGGAGCUGGGUUUUUUACGAGAUACAUUUAUUUGUAUUUUUAUGGUAGUUGUUUUAAGCUCUUGUGAGCGAAGUUGUUUAUUAUUAGACUUUUGGAAGUUGAUGUAAUUAAGGAGAAUAAAUGUUUAACUCAGUUGUUGAGUUUGUUGAUAUUUACAUUUCCAGUAUCUGUUUUUAGUUUGAUAGUUGUUGAGCAGGUUUUGGGGUAUUUAGAAUUUGAGUUUUAUCAUGCCCAAAUUUUUGAAAUUUUAUCCUUCGAAAAUUGGGGCGUGACAUCUUCGGCCUCUCCAAGUGUAGCCGCCCGGUAAAUGUUUCGAGGGUGCACAAGGUUGACUACUUUCCACGCGUCACCCUUAGCAAGGUCAUCAAGAUAAAACACUUGUUUUACCGAUGUGGCAAAAACGAACGGGU